UGGGUUCAGAACGUCGUGAGACAGUUCGGUCCCUAUCCGUCGCGGGCGCAGGAAAUUUGAGAGGAGCUGUCCUUAGUACGAGAGGACCGGGAUGGACGUUCCGCUGGUGUACCAGUUGUGCCGCCAGGCGCAUCGCUGGGUAGCUAUGAACGGAAGGGAUAAACGCUGAAAGCAUCUAAGUGUGAAGCCCCCCUCGAGAUGAGAUUUCCCAUUCCUAUAUGGAGGUAAGACCCCUGAGAGAUGAUCAGGUAGAUAGGCUGGAAGUGGAAGUGCAGCGAUGCAUGGAGCGGACCAGUACUAAUCGGUCGAGGACUUAACCAAG
RNAcentral lists this ribosomal RNA (322 nucleotides) under Lactobacillus sp. chh01. RNAcentral describes it as "partial 23S ribosomal RNA". It matches the Rfam family "Bacterial large subunit ribosomal RNA", at positions 2606 to 2925 of the family's 2925-position model. Lineage: Bacteria; Bacillati; Bacillota; Bacilli; Lactobacillales; Lactobacillaceae. The record is from RNAcentral.